RNAcentral lists this ribosomal RNA (253 nucleotides) under uncultured bacterium. Its description in RNAcentral is "partial 16S ribosomal RNA". It matches the Rfam family "Bacterial small subunit ribosomal RNA", at positions 524 to 776 of the family's 1533-position model. The record is from RNAcentral. RNAcentral also lists the same sequence under 2 other names.
UACGUAGGGUGCGAGCGUUAAUCGGAAUUACUGGGCGUAAAGCGUGCGCAGGCGGCUUCGCAAGUCAGACGUGAAAUCCCCGGGCUUAACCUGGGAAUGGCGUUUGAAACUACGGAGCUGGAGUGUGGCAGAGGGAGGUAGAAUUCCACGUGUAGCGGUGAAAUGCGUAGAUAUGUGGAGGAAUACCGAUGGCGAAGGCAGCCUCCUGGGCCAACACUGACGCUCAUGCACGAAAGCGUGGGGAGCAAACAGG